CCUACGGGAGGCUGCAGUGGGGAAUAUUGGACAAUGGGGGCAACCCUGAUCCAGCCAUGCCGCGUGUGUGAAGAAGGCCCUCGGGUUGUAAAGCACUUUCAGUGAGGAAGAACGCCUGGUGGUUAAUACCCAUCAGGAAAGACAUCACUCACAGAAGAAGCACCGGCUAGCUCCGUGCCAGCAGCCGCGGUAAUACGGAGGGUGCGAGCGUUAAUCGGAAUUACUGGGCGUAAAGCGCGCGUAGGUGGCUUGAUAAGCCGGUUGUGAAAGCCCCGGGCUCAACCUGGGAACGGCAUCCGGAACUGUCAAGCUAGAGUGCAGGAGAGGAAGGUAGAAUUCCCGGUGUAGCGGUGAAAUGCGUAGAGAUCGGGAGGAAUACCAGUGGCGAAGGCGGCCUUCUGGACUGACACUGACACUGAGGUGCGAAAGCGUGGGUAGCAAACAGGAUUAGAUACCCUUGUAGUC
This 465-nucleotide ribosomal RNA is filed under the name Vreelandella stevensii. RNAcentral's name for it is "partial 16S ribosomal RNA". It matches the Rfam family "Bacterial small subunit ribosomal RNA", at positions 338 to 795 of the family's 1533-position model. Lineage: Bacteria; Pseudomonadati; Pseudomonadota; Gammaproteobacteria; Oceanospirillales; Halomonadaceae. The record is from RNAcentral.